RNAcentral lists this long non-coding RNA (6349 nucleotides) under Sus scrofa (pig). Its description in RNAcentral is "lncRNA (ENSSSCG00000055581.1)". The record is from RNAcentral. Lineage: Eukaryota; Metazoa; Chordata; Mammalia; Artiodactyla; Suidae.
AGCAUCCCACAGGCAGCAGGACAGCAGCCCUCCUGCUCCAAAGAAGCAGAACCUGACAGCAACUUGCACCUCCAGCCAAAAUGGACAAUAAAUAGACAAGAAAUAGAUAAGAGCACACUAAGCUCCGCCUCCACCCUGAAAGCUCCCAGCUUUCAGGUGCUUGUUCAUCUAACCCUCACCACAGCCCACAGAUUUAGAGCCAGAUAUUGAGUUUGUGGGGCUUCAUGCGAAAUGAAAAUAUGAGGCCCUUGUUCAAAAAGCAGAGGAAAUGUAUAAUUAGAUGUAGUCAAAUAUAUCUUUUUUCAUUCUCCUUGGGUGGUUUUCUCAUUCUCCAGUUCACUGGCUCCCUCUGGUUUUGUCACCUUUUUGGCCUUUCAUCCAUCGUGUUUUUAUCUGCUACUUAAUGUUGCACUUGACAGGCCAUGCCCUGAGAUUUCAGUGACAACAGGCCCCUGGCCACCAGGUUCCCAUCCCCCAGCCCCCAGGUGGACAUACCUGCCCAAGAGUGGAGAAGGUCGGCCAGGUGUCUUCCCCUGCUUUUUGUGAAUGGUGAAGCCCAGAAGAGGGCAACCUCUGUGCAAGGAUUCACUCAACCCCAGGAUGGCCAGGGUGCCUCAGGGCGCACUGCCCAGCUCUGACCUCCCCACACCUGUGCCCAGGGCUGGACACACUUGUACACAGAGGUCAUCAGCAGUCCCUGGGUGUGAGGCAAAGAGGGAGAGGCUGGGAAGGGCCAUGGGCACCUAUAGAUGGGGGAGUAGGCGGUAGAGAACAGGGGGGCAGCAGGAGGCAGGAUUGAGUGUGAUCCAAGGAUCCAAGCCUCCCCCGCUCAUGACCAACUGUCCUAUCAGACCUCUCUCACAAAAUACAAAUUUAAGAUUUUAAAUAAUUAAAGAUAUAUUAGUUAGUAAGAAUUUCAAGAUGGUGACUGUAGAGCAUCAAACCCCUGAGCCCAGGCCCUCUUAGGCACAAAACCAUAUACAGUUGCAGUAUAUGGUUUUGUGCAUAAGAGGUCAUGUGCAGUGGUCAUGUGCCCCUGAAGCUGACUCUGGGUAGAUAUUACCACCGUCCUCAUUUCACACAUGGGGGAACUCAGUCCCUUUAAUUUUCCCAGAAUCAUGAUUCUGGGAAGCUGGGGUUGGGCGGAGGACACUAAGACUUACACUCAGUCAUGUGGCUGCAGAGCCUCAUUCUUUACCACUUCCCUGUGCUGUCCCUUAUUCCAUCAAAUCCGGCUGCCUCUACCCAGGGAAUCAGCACAACAUCUGGUGGUCUUGUGGAACAGGCAAAAGAGAGCACACCCGCCUACACCAUUUUGCUGACUCAGCCACCCACUGGCUGCAUAGCAAUAGGCAGUCCCUUAGCCUCUAUGAGCCUAACCUACCACAUGUGGGCACUGCGAAAAAAAAUAGAGUCAAAAAGUCCAUUUAUCUAGAAGUACAAGUGUCACCUAAAAUAUCAAAGAUGAGUAGGAGAACCUGACCAGGUCCAUCUUCUCCUUUCUCAGGCUUUUCCCUACCUCUCUCUAGGCAACAGACUCUGACCUUGAAUGUCCAGAGAGGACAGUGUACAUGCUUUGUGAUGGAACUGUUCUGUGGCCACACAGCAAGAAAGGGAUAAGGUUGGACCAAUUCAACACUCUGGCCUAGGAGGGCUGUAAUAUUUUCUGAGUCUGAGUACAAAGACUUUGAUCUUAGCAUCUAAAUCCAAUGUGUUUUUUCUCUCUAUUUAGUCCAAUGGGCUAGUUCUCACCAUUAGUGAUCCAAAAGGAAUCUCAGCCCAGCAUUGAACAGAUGUCUGCUGAAUGAAGGCCACUGGAGGAAAAGUCUGAAUGAUGUUUUUCCUCAGACGCAUUAAUCAGACUGACCCAUUAGUAAGUUCUGUCUCAAGGGACCCCAAAUCUGUAGCAUGAGGAGACAAAGCCUUGGUGACCUUCAAACUUUGAGUCUCUUCUACUUGACUUUAGUGACUUGUGCUUCCUCAGACAAGAUCAGGGCAUUUCCUUUGGUCUCAUUGAAAGAAGCUGCUACUUUGGCAGGACUGUCUGAAAGAUCUGAACAGUCAAGGACUUUGGGCUCGAAUACAGUAACUCAGUCUAUGUUAGGGUCUGCUGCCAUACAUGAUGCCCAAGAGUCUCCAUUGUUCUUGGAUUCUGGGCCUGUUUCAGGAGUGCCAGUUCACUGCCCAGAGCAAAUCAAACACAUCCAGAAAUUCCCCAGAACCUCAGCUCUAAACUUCAGCAAAGAACAUUUCAUGAACUAUCCAAAGGCUGCAGAUGAGCCAUCUGACAGUCAGAGACUGUUGGGAACAUGAAACAGGUUAGUACAUGUCAAAUACUCAGCACAGAGUCUGGUACACAGUAAGUGUUCAACUGAAAUGCCAGCCUCUGAUGAGGAUGUAAUCUCUCCUGGGGAGGGUUAGUGAGCAGAGUGACAUGUCACUCCUUCUGGAGGGGUACAGGAUAUUUGCCCUAAGAGGGACAGGAUGAGGGCACUAGACACUCUGAUGAAGGAAGGAGGAAGGUGGGAAAAGGAGUUUGAUGCAAGCAGGGGAGCGUGGAUCAGGAAGCUGAAAACUCCUUUUACCAGUAGGCAUGGCUUUUCCAUGGUCUGACUCUGGACACCCCAAGGACAGAGCUAGUGUGAGGUUUCUGGUGUGAUGUGAAAACAUCUACCCUCAGAUUGACUUCCGCUGCUUCCACCUCCCCCAGAGACUUAAAGCAUGUAACUGUAAUGGGGCAUGUAAGUUGGUCUUUCCUGGAGAAACAUGGGUCCUUACAAGAGAUCAGAAGACACAAAAACACACUCAGGGUCUUUCAAAGAAUUCUCCUCUCAACUUUUUGCUUCUGGAGGCCAAACAUCUUAUACUUCCUUUUUGUCAUACACAGACACUUGAGUGCUUUCUCCAGAGCAAAAAUGGUUGACACUCUCCGGUGAUGGAUUCAAACAUUUUGACUGAACUCAUUCAAAUUUCCAUCAGUUUAGUCAAUUGAUGUCAUAUCAAAUAUCUGUCAGCACAACCAGCCAAGUUGAUUAGACACCUGGUCUUUUUAGUUAGCUCAACUUGUUAUUUCUAAAAACAAAAAUAAAAAAUCAAGAUCAAAAUAACCUAUCAAUUUGGUUAGCAAGUGACUAAUAACUGCCAUCAAAAAAAGUAUAUUUUUUCAAACCACUUUGGUUUUUUUUCACUGAAUCUACUAAAUCAAUCAGUUGUGUGCGGGAAGUGGGGGUGGCAUUGAAGAGAUGUGUCAGCUUGCUGGACAAGCAGGGAGGAGAAUAUUAGAAAUAAAAUCAUCAAAAAGAUGCCAUCAGAAUGGCCACAAUUCCACCCUCAAUCAUCUGCAGUAACAAUGAGAAAUGAGAUCCUGCAAGAUGUAGAGAUCACUCCUAAUCACAAUAAUUUUGUGCGUUGAAGAGCAUUUUUCUAUUCUUCCUAGAAAUUCCCAUGUUCCCAUGUUCCCAUGUUCAUGUUUGAUUCCUAUGUUCAUGUCCAUAAUUGAUAAGCAAAUGGUGUGAGAGUGUCCUGGAUUGCCUUUCAACAACAAACACACCAAUGGCAAGUUCAUUGGAAACUGAAAGUUGAGUGCAUUUACAGGGGCCCUUUGAAUGCUAUAUUAUAUGAAUUAAUUCUGAAAAAUGUAGUUCCAACCCACGUCCAGAGGAAUAUGAUAAAUUCAAUGUUAGACACAAUUUUAGACCCAAGCUAAAGAGUUAAAAUUGGGGUCUUUGUUAGAAAUGAAACCAGGAAAGCUGGCUUUCAGCACUCUGUUCUUGUCCCCUUCACUCUUCUCCCACACUCCCCAGCAGCUACCUCCCUCCCUCCCUAGACAUCCCCUCUCAGGACGACAGAGCCUCAAACUGCCCUAGUGGUCUCCCUGCAGAAGGAACCAUUUAAUAGACCAAGUCACACUGAGAGAUCUAUGACUCUCUGUGCUCUUUCCAGGCUCCCUGUUUUGGGACAGAACUUACCUGAAGAAAUCUGUGUUUAGCUCAAAGGAGUGAAUCACUGAUGACACACAGUUGUCGUCCCAUCCCUCCAUAUUCGUGGGGGCAGGAGGGGUGGGUGGCUCUUGGACCCAAGUGGAUGCCAAAAUCUGUGAUGCUCAAGCCCUCACAUAAAAUAGCAUAGAAGAGCCAACCCUCUGUAUCCGCAGAUGCAGAACCCACAGAUAUGGAAGCUGACUGUAAUUUCAGAUACCAGGUGUCAGCAGACUGGUUUUAACAAAGCCAGGUCUUGUGAAGAGCUAUCUUGCUUAGGGAAUCGGAAAAUUUCUUAUCUCUUAGAAAUAUUCAUUCAGAAAUUAAAUGGCCCACUUUUGUCCAAUUCAAAUUUUCCUCUGGUCUGAUUUUUCUCCCAGUCACUGACAUUCUACAAUGGGAAUAAGCUGAUUAUUUAUUGCUAGUCACUCACCACCUACAAUUCACUUUUCCAAUUUUCCUGUGUUGCCUAUCAGUGCCACUUUGUCAAUCCCUGCAGUUUAUUGACUGUGUUCUGAUGGCUAGGGUAAACAAAUUACUUCAAGAAUGACUGUGGCGCAAAAAGGGCCCCUGCUGGGUUCUAAAUGAUGGACUGAUACGUGAUCCAAUUGAUCCUAAUGUCAGGAGGCAAUUCACCAUCACAAGGGGACAGGUUGCCCUAACCCAUCUUAUCAAGGACAUAGUUUUGUGUGGUACAUAAUAUUUUCCUUUUUUUAAAUUCUAAGUAUUGGACAUUAUCUAGAUCAAAUGAUUUUGCAGAUCAAAUAUUUCAAAUUUUCAAGUCUACUCCUUUAAAAUACACUGUGCAUAUACUGCACAGUAACAGUACCACAUUAUAAAGGCAUUCAAAGCAUCAAUAACGAAGAAGUUCACAUUCCUACAUUAGGUCAGAAUUCAUGUACUGGAUAUUGGGCAGGUCCCCGUAAUGUCUGGACCCAAGUUUAUGCCCAGCUCAGUGGUCUCCAAAUUUCUUUACUGUGCAAUUCUACCAGAAAAACCCUUUUGAGCAUGCACCCAGGUGUUCAUUUAAUUAUAAUUUGUAUUCGUGUAUGUACCUCGGUCAAUAUGUCAAGGCACAAUACACGCUUAAGUGAAGGUCAUCUUUAAAAACAGUAAAUGUAAAUCCUUUUUAGUAGACUUCAUAAUUUUGACCUUUUUUUGGCCUAAUAGUAUACAUGGCUAAUUAGGAUGUCAUUGCCAUUACUUCCUAAUGGGGCUGGUGACGAGUUUAUGAUCAAAGCUGAGGAAGCAAUAUCCCCACCACUUUCUUGUGACUUAUUUGGGCCUAUAUUAAACUAUAAUCUGAAGUUUUUUUGCAGGAGUCUUAAUAAUCCACUUGUCCACUUGAAGAUAAUAAUAAAAUUAAUAAUAAUAAUUAAAAUAAUAAAGUAACUUAAAAUAAUAAAAUAAUUAUUAUUACAAAAUAAUAAUUAAAAUAAUAAUAACAAUUAAAAGCACUUACCCAGGAAGUCUGAACUCAAGAGCCUGCAUAGGUGACCUUGAAAUGCUGACCUUCACACAUGGUACACAAUAUCCGUAUGUGGUGACUUGAAAAAUGAUCGGAGCCAGGACUCCUUAACUUAAACUCAUUUUAAUUUUUAGAUAAAAAUGUACGUAGAAGUCUACACACCCCAAUGGACAGUCUUAUGUACCCCUCAGGAUGAACAACCCACCUUGGGGAUCACUGGCUCCAAUUCCCUAAAAUUGAGCCUUUUUUGGAGAGGAAGGUGGAGAAGCCCACAGAAACCAAAUCAGACUUAAUAUCCGGCCCAGGAGUUUUGACAACCUGGGGGCACCAGGAAGCAUUAAAGGGUUUUAAAGAAGAGGUGAUAUGGCCUGAUCUGCAUUCUUACAAGAUUAUUCUAGAUGCACCUGGAAGAAGGGGUUAGGGAGCAUGCACAGUUAUCAGGAGUUAGUUUGUUUUUUUUUUAAGCUGUUGUAUAAAUGGAUUUCUUUUUUUUAUUAGAGUUGAUUUACAAUAUUGCGCCAAUUUCUGCUGAACAGCAAAGUGACCCAGUCAUAUAUAUAUACAUAUAUAUACUUUUUUUUUCUCAUGUUAUCUUCCAUCAUGUUCUAUCCAAAGAGAUUGGAUAGUGUUCCCUGUGCUAUACAGUAGGACUUCAUUGCUUAUCCAUCCUAAGUGUAGCAGCUUUGUAAAUGGAGAGAAGUGUACAGAUUCACAAGAGAGUCAAGAUUUCUAGCAUCCAUGAGGACACAGGUUCAAUCCCUGGCUUCACUCAGUGGGUCAAGGAUCCGGCGUUCCCUUGAACUGUGGUGUAGGUCACAGAUGUGACCCAAAUCCUGAGUUGCUGUUGCAGCUAUAGCUCCGAUCUGACCCCUAGCCUGGGAACCUCCAUAUACCACAGGUGCGG